RNAcentral lists this ribosomal RNA (207 nucleotides) under uncultured bacterium. RNAcentral's name for it is "partial 16S ribosomal RNA". It matches the Rfam family "Bacterial small subunit ribosomal RNA", at positions 568 to 774 of the family's 1533-position model. The record is from RNAcentral.
CACGUAGGCGGGUUGUUAAGUCAGAGGUGAAAUCCUGGAGCUCAACUCCAGAACUGCCUUUGAUACUGGCGACCUUGAGUCCGGGAGAGGUGAGUGGAAUUGCGAGUGUAGAGGUGAAAUUCGUAGAUAUUCGCAAGAACACCAGUGGCGAAGGCGGCUCACUGGCCCGGAACUGACGCUGAGGUGCGAAAGCGUGGGGAGCAAACA